RNAcentral lists this unclassified non-coding RNA (336 nucleotides) under soil metagenome. RNAcentral's name for it is "partial contains 5.8S ribosomal RNA, internal transcribed spacer 2, and large subunit ribosomal RNA". The stretch from base 1 to 120 matches the Rfam family "5.8S ribosomal RNA", at positions 35 to 154 of the family's 154-position model. The record is from RNAcentral.
GAUGAAGAACGUAGCGAAAUGCGAUAAGUAAUGUGAAUUGCAGAAUUCAGUGAAUCAUCGAAUCUUUGAACGCACAUUGCGCCCGCCAGUAUUCUGGCGGGCAUGGCUGUUCGAGCGUCAUUUCAACCAUCAAGCCCCCGGCUUGUGUUGGGGACCUGCGGCUGCCGCAGGCCCUGAAAAGCAGUGGCGGGCUCGCUGUCACACCGAGCGUAGUAGCAUACAUCUCGCUCUGGGCGUGCUGCGGGUUCCGGCCGUUAAACCACCUUCAUAACCCAAGGUUGACCUCGGAUCAGGUAGGAAGACCCGCUGAACUUAAGCAUAUCAAUAAGCGGAGGA